UCAGGCCUAACACAUGCAAGUCGAACGGUAACAGCGGAGCUUGCUCCGGCUGACGAGUGGCGGACGGGUGAGUAACGCGUAGGAAUCUACCCAGUAGCGGGGGAUAGCCCGGGGAAACCCGGAUUAAUACCGCAUACGCCCUACGGGGGAAAGGGGGCCUCUUCAUGAAAGCUCUCACUAUUGGAGGAGCCUGCGUUGGAUUAGCUAGUUGGUGGGGUAAAAGCCUACCAAGGCGACGAUCCAUAGCUGGUCUGAGAGGACGAUCAGCCACACUGGAACUGAGACACGGUCCAGACUCCUACGGGAGGCAGCAGUUAGGAAUAUUGUGCAAUGGGGGAAACCCUGACACAGCCAUGCCGCGUGUGUGAAGAAGGCCCUAGGGUUGUAAAGCACUUUCAGUAGGGAGGAAUUAGCAAGGCUAAUACUCUUGUGAAAUGACGUUACCUACAGAAGAAGAUCCGGCUAACUCCGUGCCAGCAGCCGCGGUAAUACGGAGGGAUCGAACGUUAAUCGGAAUUACUGGGCGUAAAGCGCGCGUAGGCGGCUUGUUAAGUGGGAUGUGAAAGCCCCGGGCUCAACCUGGGAACUGCAUUCCAAACUGACAGACUUGAGUACGAUAGAGGGGGGUAGAAUUCAGAGUGUAGCGGUGAAAUGCGUAGAUAUUCUGAGGAAUACCGGUGGCGAAGGCGGCCCCCUGGAU
This 700-nucleotide ribosomal RNA is filed under the name uncultured bacterium. RNAcentral describes it as "bacterial SSU rRNA". It matches the Rfam family "Bacterial small subunit ribosomal RNA", at positions 42 to 734 of the family's 1533-position model. The record is from RNAcentral.